GAGGGGAGCCUACACAUGCAGUCGAGCGGAACGAGUUAUCUGAACCUUCGGGGAACGAUAACGGCGUCGAGCGGCGGACGGGUGAGUAAUGCCUAGGAAAUUGCCCUGAUGUGGGGGAUAACCAUUGGAAACGAUGGCUAAUACCGCAUAAUACCUACGGGUCAAAGAGGGGGACCUUCGGGCCUCUCGCGUCAGGAUAUGCCUAGGUGGGAUUAGCUAGUUGGUGAGGUAAUGGCUCACCAAGGCGACGAUCCCUAGCUGGUCUGAGAGGAUGAUCAGCCACACUGGAACUGAGACACGGUCCAGACUCCUACGGGAGGCAGCAGUGGGGAAUAUUGCACAAUGGGCGCAAGCCUGAUGCAGCCAUGCCGCGUGUGUGAAGAAGGCCUUCGGGUUGUAAAGCACUUUCAGUCGUGAGGAAGGUAGUGUAGUUAAUAGCUGCAUUAUUUGACGUUAGCGACAGAAGAAGCACCGGCUAACUCCGUGCCAGCAGCCGCGGUAAUACGGAGGGUGCGAGCGUUAAUCGGAAUUACUGGGCGUAAAGCGCAUGCAGGUGGUUUGUUAAGUCAGAUGUGAAAGCCCGGGGCUCAACCUCGGAAUAGCAUUUGAAACUGGCAGACUAGAGUACUGUAGAGGGGGGUAGAAUUUCAGGUGUAGCGGUGAAAUGCGUAGAGAUCUGAAGGAAUACCGGUGGCGAAGGCGGCCCCCUGGACAGAUACUGACACUCAGAUGCGAAAGCGUGGGGAGCAAACAGGAUUAGAUACCCUGGUAGUCCACGCCGUAAACGAUGUCUACUUGGAGGUUGUGGCCUUGAGCCGUGGCUUUCGGAGCUAACGCGUUAAGUAGACCGCCUGGGGAGUACGGUCGCAAGAUUAAAACUCAAAUGAAUUGACGGGGGCCCGCACAAGCGGUGGAGCAUGUGGUUUAAUUCGAUGCAACGCGAAGAACCUUACCUACUCUUGACAUCCAGAGAACUUUCCAGAGAUGGAUUGGUGCCUUCGGGAACUCUGAGACAGGUGCUGCAUGGCUGUCGUCAGCUCGUGUUGUGAAAUGUUGGGUUA
This 1061-nucleotide ribosomal RNA is filed under the name Vibrio harveyi. RNAcentral describes it as "bacterial SSU rRNA". It matches the Rfam family "Bacterial small subunit ribosomal RNA", at positions 39 to 1082 of the family's 1533-position model. The record is from RNAcentral. Lineage: Bacteria; Pseudomonadati; Pseudomonadota; Gammaproteobacteria; Vibrionales; Vibrionaceae.